Molecule: non-coding RNA, 474 nt
Organism: Ictidomys tridecemlineatus (thirteen-lined ground squirrel)
Lineage: Eukaryota; Metazoa; Chordata; Mammalia; Rodentia; Sciuridae
Source: RefSeq, a predicted model, not a curated record
CUCAUGCACACCAUGUUUCUGCUGGCCACAGGGGCAGCGAGUGGGGUUCAGCCAGCCCUUCCUGAGUGACAGGCCUGGGGCUGAGGACUGUAGCUACAGAAACGGUUAACCUACUAGGAAGUAAGCUGUGGCUCAAGACACAGGAAUCGUGGCCAAGCCGGCCUCUUGGGGGCUCUGGGGCUCUUGCCUGGAUCCCGGUGCUGCGGUUUCAAUCCUCCUGCAGGACAGACCCACCUUACACAGUGAGCAGGGCCUGGGUCAUCUGGCAUCGCACAGACUGAGGACAGUGGGAUUUUAGGACAUACAGUCAAGAGCUACUUGACCUGUGAUGGCUGAAAUAAUUCAUAAAAUUAUCCACUGAGAAGUUACUUAAAACCCAAUUAAAAACAAUAUCGAAAUGCCCUUUGUUCACCCAUCAGCCUUGUUACUCAGGACUUAAAACAUGUGACAAAACUUCCUUAUUUUAAAACUCAG